RNAcentral lists this ribosomal RNA (253 nucleotides) under uncultured bacterium. RNAcentral describes it as "partial 16S ribosomal RNA". It matches the Rfam family "Bacterial small subunit ribosomal RNA", at positions 524 to 776 of the family's 1533-position model. The record is from RNAcentral.
UACGUAGGGCGCAAGCGUUAUCCGGAAUGAUUGGGCGUAAAGAGCUCGUAGGCGGUUUGUCGCGUCUGCCGUGAAAGUCCGGGGCUCAACUCCGGAUCUGCGGUGGGUACGGGCAGACUAGAGUGAUGUAGGGGAGACUGGAAUUCCUGGUGUAGCGGUGAAAUGCGCAGAUAUCAGGAGGAACACCGAUGGCGAAGGCAGGUCUCUGGGCAUUAACUGACGCUGAGGAGCGAAAGCAUGGGGAGCGAACAGG